RNAcentral lists this ribosomal RNA (519 nucleotides) under uncultured Staphylococcus sp. RNAcentral's name for it is "bacterial SSU rRNA". It matches the Rfam family "Bacterial small subunit ribosomal RNA", at positions 8 to 507 of the family's 1533-position model. Lineage: Bacteria; Bacillati; Bacillota; Bacilli; Caryophanales; Staphylococcaceae. The record is from RNAcentral.
AGAGUUUGAUCCUGGCUCAGGAUGAACGCUGGCGGCGUGCCUAAUACAUGCAAGUCGAGCGAACAGAUAAGGAGCUUGCUCCUUUGACGUUAGCGGCGGACGGGUGAGUAACACGUGGGUAACCUACCUAUAAGACUGGAAUAACUCCGGGAAACCGGGGGCUAAUGCCGGAUAACAUUUAGAACCGCAUGGUUCUAAAGUGAAAGAUGGUUUUGCUAUCACUUAUAGAUGGACCCGCGCCGUAUUAGCUAGUUGGUAAGGUAACGGCUUACCAAGGCAACGAUACGUAGCCGACCUGAGAGGGGUGAUCGGCCACACUGGAACUGAGACACGGUCCAGACUCCUACGGGAGGUAGCAGUAGGGAAUCUUCCGCAAUGGGCGAAAGCCUGACGGAGCAACGCCGCGUGAGUGAUGAAGGUCUUCGGAUCGUAAAACUCUGUUAUUAGGGAAGAACAAAUGUGUAAGUAACUGUGCACGUCUUGACGGUACCUAAUCAGAAAGCCACGGCUAACUACGUG